ACAAGGUCGGGGGGUGUUGGGCUGCGGUACUGUCCCUAAGCGGGAGAAUAAGCUUCCCGUGCCUUCUGGCAGCGGGGAGGGACCCUGCCCGCCUCGGGCUGCGGGUCCCCGCUCCCGGUCCAGGGAACCCUCAGGCUUAUGUUUUGGGCCCCAUAUGUUCCUUUCUACAGAAGGCUAAGUCUCAGGAGGCUCAAGUAAUUGUGGUCAUCUGCUGCAUCAGUGUGAUUUAUUUGGUCACACUGUGUGAUUUCCUCCUUGUGUUUGGGAUUCUCUCCACAGAAGCUGGGCCAUUCAGGAAUGGUAAAUAUUCUCAAAUCUGAACAAUUGAGAAUGAGCAAUGUUAUAUGGCUGUCUCCAUUUCAAAAGAUUUUAUGUUCUCUGUACAAGUACCUACCACAUUACAAUGUGUCUAGGCUUGUACAUGGUUUUGUAGGUAAUUCAAAUGAAAUGCCUGUGCAACUCAAAAAUAGUUGACAGUAUCAACUAAAAACUGCAAUGCCUGGGUAAGGAUAAAAAGAAGAUAUCUGAUUUGAGUAUACCCAUAAAAAAAUGAUUUCUAUGCAGUUCUGUCAGCAAAAAUAUGACCAAUACUCCUGAGCAAUGGUCCUGCCUGAACAUGUUUCUGUGAUUUCAUUGCCUUAGUAGAAGCCCUCCAUAUGGCCAUGUGAUUGCUGCUGCUGCUGCUGCUUCACGUGAUCCAGCUUUCUGGCACAAAGGCUCUGAGCUCGUACAGAUGAUUGUUAAACGUCAUGAGACUCUGAAAGGUAGAGUAGGCAAGAGGAGGAGGAAGCCAAGAAAAGAACUGUGUGGGAGUUGCACUGAAAAAUGGAUUUGGGCAAAAAGAGAAGCACUGAAGAAGGGAGAGUGAAUCUCUUGAAGAAAAACUUGAAAGCCUGGAUGCUGAAGAUCUCAUGUCUCAUCUGUCACAACCAGAAAUCUACCUAGAUGAGGAAAAAAGAUCAAUUUCCUGUAACACUACUUGGGCUGCCUAUCUUGGUAACAGCAGGAAUUUAUACCAAGACAGAAGUAAGCAAAUCAUACAGUUUUCAAGAAGUGGGAAAGCAUUGAGAAUUACUGCCUCCAGGCCUUGAAGGUAGUUAAAAGUGCAGAAUAAAUAACAUUAUAUUCUCUAAAUAGCUCCUGUUAUUUAAUAAAAUGCUUGCUCAAAAAAUUAAUAUUACCAGUGCAUUAAUUAGUUAAACUGACUAAUGAGUUCCUAAUAUCUCUGCAAGUGACAGUGAGAUGAGUAUUUUGAAUGCAGUCAGAUGGGGUUGA
This is a long non-coding RNA of Prinia subflava (tawny-flanked prinia), 1275 nucleotides long. RefSeq lists it as uncharacterized. Lineage: Eukaryota; Metazoa; Chordata; Aves; Passeriformes; Cisticolidae. The transcript has 4 exons. The record is from RefSeq and is a predicted model, not a curated record.